GGGGAUGAUAGGCCUCGAUAGAAGCUCAUUUCAAAAUAUGCGAUUUGAGUUUUCUAAAAUCUCAUUAAACUUUUAGGAAAAGAAUAAGUGCCAACUUAUUUGAAAAACAACCUGCUUUAGCUUUUGCUUAAAGCACAUCUGUUUUGCUGAUGCUCGAUAGGCAAAAACAGGUGUCAAAUUAUCGAGCUGGGUAAUAGCUUUUUCGGGAGAUAUUGCCGACAAAAACCGAAUGCGGAUUGAAAAUAUUUUUUUCGGUUUAAGUUUUCAUUCCAAAGGCAUUAACCGAAACAUAAUCGUAGAAAUAUUUUGAAAAAAGCAUUCUACACGCGAGUUCAAUUCUCGCCAUCUCCACAU
Non-coding RNA from Parcubacteria group bacterium CG1_02_40_82, 354 nucleotides. The record is from Rfam.